Molecule: signal recognition particle RNA, 99 nt
Filed under: bacterium
Lineage: Bacteria
Description: signal recognition particle sRNA small type
Rfam family: Bacterial small signal recognition particle RNA
About the family: The signal recognition particle (SRP) is a universally conserved ribonucleoprotein involved in the co-translational targeting of proteins to membranes. Archaeal SRP consists of a 7S RNA and homologues of the eukaryotic SRP19 and SRP54 proteins.
Source: RNAcentral
ACUUCGUCCUCUUGGGUUUGUGUGUAUAUAAAUUGAGUCAGGCCAGGAAUGGAGCAGCUCUACGUAUGCAUGCGAGCGUCUAGAGGGUCGCGACGUGGA